RNAcentral lists this ribosomal RNA (253 nucleotides) under uncultured bacterium. Its description in RNAcentral is "partial 16S ribosomal RNA". It matches the Rfam family "Bacterial small subunit ribosomal RNA", at positions 524 to 776 of the family's 1533-position model. The record is from RNAcentral.
UACAGAGGUCUCAAGCGUUGUUCGGAUUCAUUGGGCGUAAAGGGUGCGUAGGUGGCGCCGUAAGUCAGGUGUGAAAUCUCGGGGCUCAACCCCGAAACUGCACUUGAUACUGCGGUGCUCGAGUACUGGAGAGGAGAUUGGAAUUUACGGUGUAGCAGUGAAAUGCGUAGAUAUUCGGAAGAACACCAGUGGCGAAGGCGGCUCACUGGACUGGUAUUGACGCUGAGGUGCGAAAGCGUGGGGAGCAAACAGG